Molecule: long non-coding RNA, 16017 nt
Filed under: Ananas comosus (pineapple)
Lineage: Eukaryota; Viridiplantae; Streptophyta; Magnoliopsida; Poales; Bromeliaceae
Description: long non-coding RNA (ACOM_LNC026278)
Source: RNAcentral
CCGGAUAUGCUUCCGCUGGUACCCGGGCGUAACAAGAAGCAUACAAAAUGGCUUGUACGAGGGCAAGCAAUAGCCAAAGUGAAAGAACUAAUUAAUAACAACAAGUAAUAUGAUUAACUUUAAAUCACAUACAUGUGAUACCAUUUUGAUCAAGUUCUUUUACAUCCUUUUUAUCAUUUCUUUUUACAUCACAAAUUCUCCAAAAUGAACCUUUGCAUUAAACAUCAUAAGAUAUCUUUAAUAUAUAUGUUCUAACCUCCCUAAUCAUCAUCAAAAUACAAAAGAUGGUAAAUAAGUAAAGGGUAUGCAACUACAAAAAGUAAGGUAUCUCGAGCGAUCUCUGUCUAGGGCACGAUACCCUUACCGCUGUCAUCUGCCGGCUCGCUCGGUCCCAGCUCUAUGGAAAUAGGGGUGUGAGAACUACAACAAAGUUUCCAGUGGGUUCGGCAAUCAACCACGCCGACUUUCCCACUAGGUCUAAAUCAGGCAUAAUAGAAGAAUAAGGGAUUAGUAACCAAACUAAAGCAAAUGCAGCUAAUAUGUCUGAACUAUAAUCAUGCUAUGCUUAAUAUAAUGCUCAUGAUGAAUGCAAGUUUAUUAAUUCCAUAACCUAAUCUCAUGGCUAGCCCGUAGGUUUCGCCCUUACAAGCUCACAAACCCAAAUCCCUACCAUUGGGGAGAAUUCCGCUACGACCCGACGGGACCGUCCUCUGGGGAGAAUUCCGCUACGACCCAGUGAUGUCAACUCCGGAGCACAUCGCCCGAGGGGGAGCUACCACCCUCGAGCAAGGACUAUUAGGUGAGUACGAUCAAUCCUUAACUUUAAGGAUUCCAAGUUCAAUCCAUUCCUUGACUUCAAGGAAACCAUGCUCAUAUGACCCUUAACUUUAAGGUUUAUAUGUCAUAUUGUCACUAUCUCUAUUCGCUUGUAUUCUUUAACCUUUACUAGUGUCAUGUACACUAUUUGAUCUUUGUUCUCAUACCAAGAUAUCACACUUGUUUUCUAGUGUUCGAGACUAGUUGAUGUCACUAUCUACAUUUAUGUCCAUAUGUUACAUUUGUUUUCUAAGUCCACUAGUUCUUGUCCAAUACCAUGCAUACAUAGGGUUAAACAAUACCAUGUUCUUAUACUAUUAUUACUCAUGCAUUCGUGUUCAUAUUAUUCAAAUAUUUGCUCAUAAGUAAUCCUACUAUACAAUAUGCUCAAUAUAUAUACAUGCUCAAAUAUGACACUUUAGACAUAGAAGGAAAUUCGAGGUCUUCGGUAUGCACCACCCACCUUAGAUGGUUGCAAGAAGGUUAGAUGAAUUUCUUGGGAUUUUUGAAGCCCUAUUCCGCGUGCUGCUGCUAUCUGUACGAAAAAUGACGUUUUCGUCAAUAACUUUGUGUUCACUCGUCGGAUCAUCGAAUCGAACGUUCCAACGCGUUCGUUUGAUUCCCAAUUAGGUUUCUAUAAGGUCAAUUCGCCUUAAAAACACUCUAGGGCAAAAGCCUCAAAUUUGGUGCCCUAAUAAUGCCAUAUGCUAAACCCUAGGUUUUGAUCUCUUGUACAAGCAAAAGAGAGCUUGUCUAACCUCUAGGAGCUCAUCUAAGGCCAACUAAGCCAUUUCUAGGGCAUCCAAAAUGAACCCUAGAAGUUCACCAUGAGAGAAUAUUGAGCUUCCAUGGAUUUUCAUGGAGUUCAAACCUCUUGAGGAGUUUUAAACAUAAGAGAAGCUCCAAAACCUAAGUUCCUUGGUAGAAAUCCAAACCCUAGUUGAGCUUUUGCAUAAAAUUCACCUUGGCCCAAAGCUCUCCAAUGUCCUUCUUGUUGGAGAGAUCCCAAACCCUCAAAGUCUCCAAAUCCACCUUCAAAAGCCUUCUCCACUCCUUCUCUUGCUCUUGGGGAAGAGUUCUAGAGAGAGAAAGAGAAAAAUGAGAGGGAAGGUGUGUGUUGGCUGUGGGAGAGGGAGAGAGGGUGUGUUUGGGUGUUAACAUGUUGCUACAAUUGCAACUAGGCCCCUCACUUCUUUCCAUGUGCAACAGAUCAUCCCUGCUGCCAGAGCCAAAGUGUACCGGUACACGGGCAUUUGUACUGGUACACUUUUGCGCAGAGGUCAAACUCGAGAGUUGUUCUCUCGGUUUCGCAACAUUUGUACUGGUACACUUUGGAUUUGUACCGGUACACUUUUGUGCAGACUCAAACCCGAGAGCUGUUAUCUCUCGGUCUGCUGGUUGUACCGAUACCGCUUGAUGGUUGUACCGGUACACUUUGCCCAAACUGGAGUUUUUGCACCGUUUCGAUUCUUUUUCGCGCCAAUCGAUGCUAAAAUCUUUCUAACCUCUCUUAAACUCGUUUCUAACCCUUCCAACACUGUCAGAAGGUUAAUUGGAACUCGUCCAAUUAAUUCUUUCGCACACUUUAAUCAAUUUGGCUGAAGUUCGAAAUUUCCUACCGAGUUUCGAUACGUUACACUAACCAUGCAGGUUCUAGUUCGUGCGAGGUGGUCGAGGAUCGUGACAGGGAUGGUGCGCUAUAGAUAGCGACAUCCAUUGAAUAUAGUUAUACCUUGUAUAUUUCAUCUGUUUAUAGUUGAUAAAAGAAAAUGUAAAUUAUUCAUUUGAGAGAUGACAAUGUAAAUAUUAAAGAAUGUGUGUAACAAUUGGUAAGCUUUGUAUUUGAUUGAAAGUAAUCAAGAUACAAUGUAUGAAUGGUUUAGUUAGUUACUUUCACUGUCUUGUGUUGCUUACCUUCGUGUAAGCCAUGUAUACUGAAAAUUUUUCUGGGCAUUUCAUUAUACAUGUUUAGUUGUUGUUGCUGAGCCUUAAACGAACAGAGGAGGUUCUGUUCGUUUGGCGUCUGUGUAUGGGCCCGACCUGACCAAAUUGGCAGUUUCGGAGCAUGACAGUUUGAAUUAAAAAUAUAAAUUAAAAAAAUCAUACAAAUAUAUAAUUUGAUGGUUUUUGUUGGACAUUUUGCAAUGAACUGAAAAAAAAAAACCAAGUGAAAUAUGUGAAAAGAUAUUAAUUUCAAAAAAAAUAAAUUGACCGUAGCACAUUAUCGCAAUGUUGUAGUUGUAGAUUGGGCCAUCUAUGGCCAACACUUUGAAUUAAUCAGAGCUGAAAGAAGCACGACAGCUAACUUAAGGAGAAGGAGGAAGAGAACUUGAACAAAGCUUUUGAAAUGACUUUCUCUAAACUCCAAAAGCUCAGUAAUUAUUGUGUGUGGUGUAGGAUUAUUGCCUAUAAGAAAAUGCAGAAUGUCAUUACCUAAGAGAUUUAUACAAAGAGAAAAAUUAUUACCUCUUGGGAAGGUGAAGAAGUUUCUUGGGAAGGUAAAAAGAUUUUGAAAAUGUGAGAAGAAUUAUUACCUUUAGAAAGGUGAAAAGGCUCUUUGAAAAGUAAUAAAAAUUAUUACAUUUUGGGAAAACAAAGAAAUCUCUUGGGAAGGUGAAAAGACUCAUUAGGAAUGUGAGAAGAAUUAUUAUCUUUGAAAAAAUGAAAAAACCUCUUGGAAAGGUGAGAAAAAUUACUACAGCUUGGAAAGGUGAAAAGACUUCUUGUGGAGGUGAAAAGGCAAAGAAAUAGUUAGAAAAGAGAGAGUCUUAACAAAGAUGUGAAAUUAAGAAGAGCCCGACACGUAAGCUCUCAAAAACCAUCAAAUUAUGUAUUUGUAUGGAUUUACUGUGAUGCUUGGAAUAAUCUGUCUACUCUUCUUUCUACUAACACACUAUUAAAUUGGGUCUACGCUCCUCUCAUUAAUGAUUGUAGAAUUUUAUUGUGGUUGCAUCCGAAUAUUAUUUUUUCCUAUGUUAGAAGAGAUCAAAAUAUAGAUGCUCAUAAUAUUACCAAUGCAACUUUACAAUUAUGUCCAUCUAUUGUCUAACCUUUUUUGUCAUUUUUGAUGUAUUUUUAAUUUGCUAAUAAAAUAGCCUACCGAUUUUCUCUUAAAAAAAAAAAGAGCUGUUUUCUCUCUAAAAAAAAAAAAAAAAAAGAGAGAGAGAAAAAAAAGAUAUGCAUGCAGACGCCCGUCCAUCAUUGUAUUGCCUAUGAUAGCUUCUAAAUUUUUUUUUGAAAAGUAAAAGAGUUAACCCAAGUACAUAAACUUUAAACUCUAAACCAUGAACCCUACAUCACAUUAACUUUAAUCAAUCAGUUGAUAAAUGACAAAUAUAAGAGUGAUGCUUCUAUACUUGGUUUUUUUCGAUAUUGUUCAUUCAUUUUUAUUCAAUGGCUCAAAUUUAAUUUUUUAAAAAAUAUUACCUAUAAUAGCAGGUCAUUUUGAAAGAGAUACUGAUUACUAUGUUCCCAAAGAGGAAUAUUUUGAUCUUUUAAUACGUAGGUAAUUUAGUAAUUUUACCUUUACUAUAUUAUCAAAUAUCUUUUCUUUUCAUUUCCUUUUUCUCUUUCUAUCUUUCCUCUUUAUCCACAGUGAAGGGGUUGGAUUCGGGGUGGAUUUUAAAAAAUCCGAACCCGAAUCCGACUAUCAAAUCCGAAACCUAAACCCAAACUCAAAUCCAACAAAUUUAAAAAAAAAUCAUAUCCACAUCCGCACCCAACUUAAAAUCCAAAACCCGAACUCUAGCUCUGAAUCUGAAAAUCCAAACCCGCAACAUUAUUCCUCUUUACAAUAUUUCAAAUAUAUUAAAUUAAAGUUAAAUUUUAAAAUACAUAUUCAAAUAUAACAUUAAACAUUUAUAUAUAUUAUAUAUUAUAAAUAAUGUAAAAUAAAUUCAGGUUCCGGUCAGUUUCAAGUUCAGAUCAGAUACAGUCAAAAUCCAUAUCGGAAUUCAAAUCUGUCGGGUUUUCGUUUUUGAUAUCCAUAUUCGAAAUUAUCUCCAUUUAACAUAGGUAAAUCUAUUGUGUUCGCUUUUGGGUUUGAGUUCGAGUUCGGAUAAAAUAGUAAUACAAAAUUUCUCUUAUUUAAAUUUAAAAUUUAAAUUUAAAUAUUAAAUAUUUAAAUUCAACAUAUUUAGAAAUAUUACUAUUUCUAAAAUUUCUAAAAUUUAAGAUUUGAUUGAUAUCCCAAAAUUUAGGCAUUAAUUUUUGCACUAAUUUAGGCAUUAUUUUAGAAACUUUAAUAAAGAUCUCAAUGAAAAGGGUUAGAGAGGAUAAAUGAAGAUAAAAUAAUUUAAUGUUGGGUGCAAUCCUUAUAACAUCUAAAAAGGAUAAUGGGCUAUAUACCCCUCAAUAUUUUUGAAGUACCUUAUGUAUUUCUAUUUUUUAUUUUAAAUAUACUCCUCUUAUAUUUUUGAAGACUAUUUAUUAAAUUUUGAAUUCAUAUCGUGAUUUAAAUGACCAACUGUAUCUAAUGCAGUUGACUAAAGGCUUGAAGGUUAGUACCGAGAUUUAAAGUUCAUUUUCUGUUGGUUUUCGCACUUAAUUUUAAUUGACUACCUAGGUGUUUGUUUGUUUUUAUUAAUUUUAUUGAUAAUCUAAAUGUCUUUUAGCUAAUAAUUUAUGAAUAAUAAUUACAACUUCGAGAUUUUGAGAUUGAGUUGAAUAUUGAUGAUGCUUUAGAAAAACUAAUUUUGUGAUGGGAGCAAAUUUAAUGUAUAAAAAUAGAUAUUUUAGGGCUUUUUUUGCAAAUAGCCCCCUGACAAAUUUUAUUUACAAAAAUAGCCCCGUCCAAAAAUUAUUUGCAAAAAUGGCCCUGCCCCUGCCACGCCAGCACCACGUCAGCGCCACGCGGGCAGGGCGGGCCCAGGUGUUUAAGUUGAACGCUGUGAACCAUUCACCGUAUUCAAUACAAAAUUUUUGUAUUGGACACGGUGAAUGAUUUACCGUGUCCAAUACAAAUACCCCAACAAUGACUAAGUUGGAGGUAUUUGUAUUAGACACGGUGAACCAUUCACCGUGUCCAAUUAUUUGUAUUGGACACGGUGAAUGGUUCACCGUGUCCAAUACAAAUAUUUCGAUCUUAACUAUUUUGUAUUGGACACGGUGAAUCAUUCACCGUGUCCAAUACAAAAACUUUGUAUUGAACACGGUGAAUGGUUCACCGUGUCCAAUACAAAAACUUUGUAUUGAACACGGUGAAUGGUUCACCGUGUUCAACUUAACCAUCUGGCCCAGCCCCGCCCGCGUGGCGCUGACGUGGCGCUUGCGUGGCGAGGCCAGGGUCAUUUUUGCAAAUAAAUUUUUGACAUGGCCAAUUUUAAAAAAAAAAUUUGUAAGGGGGCUAUUUGCAAAAAAAGCCCGAUAUUUUACUUUGUUUAGUAAAGUAAAAAUAUAUAUGCGCAAUAUCACCAAUGCAUAAGUGGGGCUCAACAUGGUAUUGUGCGUUGGGCUUGGGCCUUAUUUUUUUUCGGAGGGUUAAUUUUAUACAGGUCUCUGUAAAUAUAGUGAAUGAUAAAUAUAUCUCUAUAAAAUUCAACUUUCAUAUGUUGUUUCUGCAAAAGUCCUGAUAUCUUCAAAUAUAUCCCUCUGAUUUGUUAUCAUUAAAGAACUGAUAGAGAACUGUUUGUAUUUUUAAUUUUAUCAUCACAAAUAUGUUCCUCCAAAAACCAUAACGAUAUAAUAUAAAAGGAAAAAAAUAAAAACUAACGAGGAUUAAGUAUUAAUCUAUAGUUAACUAAAUUUUUUUAACGGAUUCUAAUGGCCGAGGUAUAUUUGAAAACAUCAAGAACAUAUAAAAGUUGAAUUUUGUAGAGAUAUAUUUGCUAUUUACUAUGUUGUCAGAAAUCAAUAUGAAAUUAACUUUUUUUUAAAAUAAACUGUUUUUAAAAAAAUAAUUGGGUACUUAGAAGGCCAAUCCGAAGCUCAAUAAUUUUUCGGGGCCAGGACCGACCGUCCCUAGAGCGAGUGGCAAAAGGCUUGAUGGUUGGUACCUGAGACCCAAGUUCGAAUCCUAAUUGAUUCAUAUUUUCAGCUAAAUUUAUUUCUAAAUAAAAUAAACGAAGCGGGUAACGUGCUAUCUAUCUCUCAAAAAAAAAAUUUUCGGGGCCAGGCUUGGACAUAAUGUCACUCCAUCUGAACCCCGCCCAAUUCCAAUCCUAAAUAUAAUAAUUCUUCUUUUUUUUUUCCUUGCCAAAUUGGAUGAUUAAAAUUAUUUAGGAUCAAACUUCAAACUUCAUCAAAGUUCACUAAUAAAAUUAUUUUUUAUUUUUAUUUAGUUUAGUUUAUUUAUGUCAUGAGUUGCAUGGACUCUUCACUAGUAAAUAUUAAAGACUUAAAAAAAUAAAAUAAAACAACAAUUAAGUUUAAAAAUUGCAUAAAGAUUGAGAAGUAACCACGAUACUAACCUUUAUUAGCUUUCGUUUUAGGAUACAUAUUAUAUAUUAGCGCAUAUUUGCUAUAUAUAUGAAAAGGGCAAUUGCUUAUAUCUCCAAGUAAGAUUUUUUACUUUUUUAUUUAUCUCUUUUAGAAAGUUAAUAUUAAAAAAUAUUUUUUUAACGUUCCAAUUUUUUUCAAAUAUAUCUUAGAGUUUGAUUCAACUGUUAGCAAUAACCGUUGUUCUGUGUAAUUACUAUUUUGUAAUUUCAAACUUAUCCUUUCACCAUCACCAAUUUUUUUUAUUCGCCUUUAUUUUUUCUUAGGUUAAAAGUAAAAAGAGAUAUUUUGACUACUUCUUUUAAAAUAUAUCCUUAUAAUAUCGUCACUAGUUUUUCUUAUUUAUCCUAAAAGCAGGAGAAUAAUAGAUAUUUUGAUUUUUUUAAAAGAAAUUAGAUAGAAAUUUAACUCAAGUCUAACCUGAGAUGACUUAAUGAUUACUAUUACUAACAAUAGAGAUGUGUUUGGGUCGUUCUUUUUUCACUUAGGAAUCGGCAUCGGAAUGGAUGAGUCGGCCAUUUGUAGGUCGGCCAUUUGUAGGUUUUUGGUACGUGAGAGUCCUAUUUCGAUUCCGAUUUUUGGGUGAAUGAGAAUUUCCCAAUCAUCCCUUUUUUUGGAUUGAAAGUUGAAUUUAGGUGAAAAGAAUGCACUUUAUGAAAAUAUCUCAAUUAUAUUAUAUAUUUUUUAUUUUUUAUUUUUUAUUUUUUAUUUAAAAUUUAAUUUAAUUUUUUCACUUUGAUUUUUAAUUAAAAUAUUAAAAGUUGGAAUUAGAAAUUAAAUUUUUAAUUCUAUAUUUUCAUUUAGAAAUUAAAUUUAAAAUAUAAUUUCAAUCAACUAUUUUGAAUUUGAUCUAUAAAUUUAAAUUUAAUUGUAAGUUUGAAUCUGAAUCAAAUGAAAAAUUAGUUUAAUAGUUUAUAUUGUCCACUCAAUUUUAAAAUUCAAAAUUUUCAAAUAUUACAUUUGAAAUAUUGGCUGAUCAUUUCAAUAUUUUGAUGUAAAUUUUUAAUAUUUAACUUUUAGUUUGAAUUUUAAUUAUAAAUUUAAACUAAACACGUUAUACGAGUAUUUUUAUAUAACCUAGAAAUAUACUGGGGGUAUAUUUGAGACAAAAAAUAUAAAAAUAUAAUAGAUAUUUUAGAAAUUUGAGAGAUAUAUAAAUAAUUAUUCCCUUGUAAAACAUAUAAUAAUAAUCCGGACACCCCUGGAAUUCGUUAGCUUUUUCAAAAUCAUUCGAAUUCAACCACUCCAUCGCAUGCAACUAAAUUAAAAUUCCAAACGAAAAUAAAAAUAAAAAUAAAAAUAAAAAUAAAAUCAAGAAACCUCUUGAUCCCUUGCUGUGUCUCGUGCUCAUACAAUAAUAAUACAUAACAUUUUUGUGCUUCCAAUAUGCUGUGUGUUGGGACUUAGGAUUGUCCUGCAUGUGCUAUUAACAAAAAUACACGAACAAAGAAAUAUAAAAAAAUAAUAGAAAGGACAGAAAAAAGAGACAGCGAUUUACGUGAUUCGGCAAGUGGUCUACGUCCACGGGGAGAGCGAGAGAGAUGUAUCCUUUAUAUGAAGAAAACAAAAAAUACAAGCUCACACCUUUAUAUUUCUCUCAAUCUAAUACAAGAGCCUUAUGAUUACUAUCAUCCUUCUCUUGUUACAACAAAUAAGAGAAACUCAACAAGCUACUAAUUAAAUUUUUAGGCUUCUCCUAAUACCUCACUUAAUUCACUCGUUGCUUGUGCUUCAUCUUGUUGUGCCUUUAUCUAUGGAGAUGGAGGCCUUUUAUAGCCAUGAAUGCAGUUGCACAACUGAAGUUUGCAUCUUCAAUUGUCAAUUUGCCAUAAAUAGCCUAUAUAUAGGCUUUUUGACAUUCAUGGCAACAUGUGUUUCAUGCAUGCAUGCAUGAACAUGCAUGAAACACAGCAUAUUACUUCUCUGUCCAAUGAAAACCCUUUAUUCGUACUUUAAAUAGUUCAGUAGAACCGGUGCGCCAUGAACCAACUUUCAUAUCCAUGUCUCUUUUGCAUAUUAGUCCAAAAAAUCUUAUGGGCCAAAUAAAUAAUUUUAUGCCCUAUACAAAAGAAGACAUAUAACCAACAAUCUCCACCUUGGCUUCUUUUGUUCUUCAUUUAGUCUAUCUCAUCUUAAUGCUCUCUCUCCCUAGAGCUUCCAGCCAUCAGCAAUACUGCAAAUUUGCCAAGUUUAGGCAAUGCCUAAACUUUUCAGAUGUUACCGGCUUUGUCAUGAUGUCGGCUAUAUUCACUACAACAAAAACGGUCUAUAGCGACACUUUUAAAUGUAGCUACAUGUCAAAAAAGUGCUGCUAACUAAAAUUACCGACACUUUUGAAAAGUGUUGCUAUAUGUGGGGUCGCUAGGUAUAUAGUGACAGUUAAAGAGUGUCGCUAUAACCUAAAAGAGUGCUGCUAAUUUUACCAACACUUAUUUAAAUAUUUAGCAACCGUCGAAACUCUAUCUCGUUAGCUACGGUGGCGGAGGAGAACGACAGGAAAGGCUCUUCAUCUAGAAUUUCAGUGGAUUGAGUGAAGAGAGAAGAAAAAAUGAAAAUUGAUUUUUCUAUUUUUUUUCUUUUCUGUUUGUAAUCGGGCCAAAUAGACUGGGUGUGGUGGGUUGAGUAGAGUAAUAUUUUAUUUUUGGUUGGAUUGGGUUUUAUAUUUAGGCAUUAGUAGAUGUUUUUUUUAAGUUUUAGCAUAAAUGGGAUACUUACUCAAAAGUGUCCCAAACAUGUGUCCCUAUAACCUAAUUCUGUUAUAGUGAUUGUCCUUUGUAGAUACCUUUAUAAGUUGAAUUUCUCCAUCAUCUUCAUUUGUGAACUCUCUUAAUUUGUGAUACCUUAUGUCUAUAUGCUUAGUCCUUGCAUGGUACACCUAAUUUUUAGCAAGACAAAUAGCACUUUGACUAUCACAAAAUAUGUUUACCUUAUCGUGUAUGAUUCCGAAUUCACCUGCCAAGCCUUUGAGCCAGACUGCUUCCUUAGCUGCUUCAAUUGCUGUCAUAUAUUCCGCCUCUGUAGUUGACAAGGCUACAGUGCGCUGCAAUGUGGACUUUCAACUAAUAGAUCAACCACUCAGCAAAAAAAGUGUAACCUGUAAUAGAUCUUCUCCUGUCUAAAUCUCCAGCAUAGUCGGAAUCCACAUACCCUCUUACUUCAACAAUUCUAGAUUCUCUAGUAUAGAGAAUUCCUACAUCAGCUGUGCCUUUUAAAUACCGCAAGAUCCAUUUCACUGCCUCCCAGUGUUGCUUUCCUGGAUUCGACAUAUAUCGACUAACAACACUAACUGCAUGUGAAAUGUCAAGUCUAGUACAAAUCAUAGCAUACAUUAAACAACCAACUGUACUAGCAUAUAGUAUCUUUGCCAUACAAUUUACCUCUUGCUCAGUUUUUGAGCACAUCUCCUCUGAUAGCUUGAAGUGUUGGACUAACGGAGACUUGACCGCCUUUACAUCUGACAUAUUGAAUUGCUUUACAAUUUUCUUUAUAUAUGUCUUUUGAGAUAGCCGGAGCUUCCCUUGUUUGCGGUCUCUUCUGAUCUCCAUACCUAGAAUUUUCUUGGCACUUCCUAGGUCCUUCAUGUCAAAUUCUUGGCUCAACAGUUCCUUUAACUUUUGCACUUUUAUUGAAUCUUUUGCUGCAACCAACAUAUCAUCUACAUAAAGCAUUAGCAGAAUAAAAGAACUAUUAUUAAGUUUACGAUAAUACACACAACUGUCAAACAAACUUCUACUAUAUCCAUGUUUGAUCAUAAACCCAUCAAAUCUUUUAUACGACUGUCUUGGUGCCUGUUUCAGUCCAUAUAGAGACCUUUUUAGUUUACACACGAGCUUCUCUUUUCCAGACUGAAGGAAGCCUUGUGGUUGUUCCAUAUAUAUUUCUUCUUCGAGGUCCCCAUGAAGAAAUGCAAUUCUAACAUCGAGCUGCUGUAGCUCUAAGUCAAACAUGGCCACCAUAGCUAGAAGUAUCCUGAUAGACACGUGCUUCACUACAGGUAAGAAGAUUUCAUUGAAAUCAACUCCUUGUUUCUGCGCAUAGCCCUUGGCCACCAAACACGCCUUAAACUUAACUGGUUCACCAUCUGCACUUUGCUUUCUCUUGUAGAUCCAUUUACAUCCAAUGGCUCUCUUUUCCUUAGGCAAUGGAACCAGAUCCCAUGUCUGAUUCUUGCUCAGAGAUUCCAUCUCUUCUAUCAUAGCAGCCAUCCAAUUGCCACUCUCCUUAUCCUGCAUCACCUCCUCAAAAGAAGAAGAAUCAUCUGAAGUAAUUAAUAAAGCAUAAGUUGCAAAAUCAUCCGGACUGUACCUUAAUGGUGGACAAAUUUGUCUUCUUUCUCUUCCUUUGGCGAUAGAGUAGGGCUCCUCUGAAGUGCUCUCAUUUGGAUCAACUGAUGUCUUAUAAUCUUCUUCAUGGUGUGACUGCUCCACCUGAUUAUGUAAACGCUCCUGCUGCUCCACCUGAAUGUCUGUAGUCUUCGCACUCUCUUCAUGUUGAGCCUGCUGCUGGAUUUUUUGCAACAUUAAUUUUUCAUCAAAGACCACAUCCUGCUAAUCACCUUCUUCUUGGCAACGGGGUCCCAAAGCUUGUAUCCAUUCACCCCCUUCUCAAACCCAAAAAAUAUGCAGGGUUUUGACUUUGAAUCUAACUUCGUGCGUUGAUUUUUCUGAACAUGAACAUAAGCAGGACAACCAAAGACACGUAAUGAGGAAUAAUCUGUAAGUUUACCUGACCAUAAUUCCUCUGGUGUUUUGAGUUCGAUUGCUGUGGAAGGGGAUCUAUUAAUAAUGUAGCACGCCAUAUCCACUGCUUCGGCCCAAAACUCUUUUGGCAAAUUUGCACAUAUCCUCAUAGAUCGGGUCUUUUCUAACAGUGUCCUGUUCAUCCUUUCUGCUACUCCAUUCUGCUGUGGAGUUUCAGGAACUGUCAGAUGGCGUGUAAUGCCUUCUUCCUUCCAGAAACUAAUAAACUCCUUAGAAGUGAACUCUCCACCAUUGUCUGUUCUUAGAUGCUUGACCUGCUUCCUUGUCUGUUUCUCCAUCUCUUUCUUUCAAUGUCUGGGCUUUAUGAAGGCUUCAGACUUUUCCUUCAUGAAGAAAACCCAAACUUUACGAGAAAAAUUAUCAAUAAAUGUUACAAAAUACCGUGCACCUCCUUUUGAAGCUUUUGGAGUAGGCCCCCACACGUCUGAAUGGAUGUAUUUAAGUAUGUCUUUACUUCUAUGACCGGAGGACCUGAAACUCACCCAUUUCUGUUUUCCAAAUACACAGUAUUUACAGAAAUUGAGUUUGCAGGUUUUCAUACCUUUGAAUACUCCUCUUUUAUGCAGCUCCAACAUCCAUUUCUCACUCAUGUGGGCUAAUCUCAUGUGCCAAAGUUCUGCAUCAUCGGCAUCAUGAUCAUCUGAGGAUGUCACUGCAACACCUCCAAUCACCGACUCGCCGAUCAACCUGUAUAGGUUUCCUUUUUUCUCUCCUUUCAUGACAGUCAUGGCACCUCUUUUUACCUUGAUGACUCCAUCUGCAAUAGUAGUACUGCAACCAAUAAAGUCAAGAGCUCCAAGUGAUAUUAGAUUUAAUCUGAGACCUGGAACAUGUCUCACAUCUGUCAAACUUCUUAUCAUGUUAUCAUGCAUCUUUAUUUUUACCGUUCCUACACCAACAACUUUGCAAGUAGUGUGAUUAUCCAUCAUAACACUUCCACUUUCACAAGAUUUGUAGAAAUCAAAUAAAGAUUUAGUUGGUGUCAUAUGAUAAGAACAAUCCGAAUCUAAUAUCCAGUCAGCAAGAGAUUCAAUACCUGAAGAAACCGUCAAAACAUCAUGAUUUUGAUCAGGAUCAUUAGCUACGCUUACUGUACCUGAAGAGGAAUUCUUCUUUUGCAGCCAUGCCUUUCUCCUCUCACAGUCUUGCUUCAUGUGGCCAUCUUUUUUGCAAAAAUAACACUUCACCUUUUUUAACCUUGACUUAGAACGAAAUCUUCCUUUAUCUGAAUCACGUUCUUUAUGCCGCCCCCUUCCUACAUCUUUAAUAAUUAAACCUUUACUUGGCUCCUCUGAAAUGGAUUGCUUUCUGAUCUCUUCUGAUAGAAGGGCUGAUGUAACGUCUUCCAUUGAAAAAGUUUGCUUUCCAUAAAGAAUGGUUGUAACCAGAUAAUUAUAGGAAGGAGGAAGCGAUGUGAGCAAAAUCAAUGCCUUGUCGUUCUCGUCAAGCUUCACAUCUACACUAAGUAGAUCACUAAUAAUUUUAUUAAAAAUAUUUAAGUGUUCAGCAACUGCCGUACCUUUCUUCAUGCAUAGCCCAUAUAAUUUUUGCUUUAGGUACAACAUAUUAGAAAGGCUCUUUGUCAUGUAUAGCUUCUCCAAUUUGGUCCACAUGCCAACAGUUUUUUCUUCGUCCUUGACAUUAUACAUCACCUCAUCUGCCAGACACAAUAUGAUGGUAUUAAGUGCCUUCAGAUCAAGCUCUUCCCAGUCUUCAUCGCUCAUUGUUGCUAAUUUUUGAGACUUUCCCAGCAACGCCUUAUGAAGACCUUGUUGUACUAAAAUGGCCUUCACUCUUCUUUGCCAAAGACCAAAAUUUCAUUUUCCAUCAAAUUUCUCCACCUCGAACUUGGACAUCGAGACAUUCGGCAUUUUUGUUGUAGCUCCGACCCGUCGCUCUGAUACCAAUUGUUGGGACUUAGGAUCGUCCUGCAUGUGCUAUCAACAAAAAUACACGAACAAAGAAAUAGGAAAAAAUAAUAGAAAGAAAAUACACAGAAAAAAGAGACAGCAAUUUACGUGGUUCGGCAAGUGGCCUACGUCCACGGGGAGAGCGAGAGAGAUGUAUCCUUUAUAUGAAGAAAACAAAAAAUACAAGCCCACACAUUUAUAUUUCUCUCAAUCUAAUACAAGAGCCUUAUGGUUACUACCACCCUUCUCUUGUUACAACAAAUAAGAGAAACUCAACAAGCUACUAAUUAAGUUUCCAGGCUUCUCCUAAUACCUCACUUAAUUCACUCGUUGCUUGUGCUUCAUCUUGUUGUGCCUUUAUCUGUGGAGAUGGAGGCCUUUUAUAGCCAUGAAUGCAGUUGCACAAUUGAAGUUUGCAUCUUCAAUUGUCAACUUGCCAUAAAUAGCCUAUAUAUAGGCUUUUUGACAUUCAUGGCAACAUGUGUUUCAUGCAUGCAUGCAUGAAACAUAGCAUAUUACUUCUCUGUCCAAUGAAAGCCCUUUAUUCAUACUUUAAAUAGUUCGGUAGACCCUGUUGGCUUAAAUGGGCCAGCAUCCUGCCCUGUGGCCGGAGGCCAUGUGGGCCGAGUCAUGUUCGAAAUGGCGUGAGGCUGGGUUGGGCCGAGUCAUGUUCGAAGUGGCGUGAGGCCAGGUGGGCCGAGUCACAAUCGAGACCCGUGGGCGCUGUUUCUGUACGCUUUAAGUGAAUUGGUUGCGUAUUUCUAACAGCUCGAGCUUUUGGGAUUAAUGGUUAGCGCCAACGAUCCGACAGACCCGGUGCACCAUGAACCAACUUUCAUAUCCAUGUCUCUUUUGCAUAUUAGUCCAAAAAACCUUAUGGGCCAAAUAAAUAAUUUUAUGCCCUAUACAAAAGAAGACAUAUAACCAACACUGUGCUCCUCAUCCUCUAAAGGCGGCAGCCGCCGCGGCCGCCGCGACUGGGCGGCCCUGCAAGACGACGUGCUCUUCUGCGUUGCCGGCAAGCUGACUAUCUUCGACUACGUGACCUUCCGGGCAGUCUGCCGCUCCUGGCUCGCCGCCAUCCCGGAGAUCCCCCUGCAGGCCCCCCACUCCCCCAAUAUAUUCCUGAAGAAUUUUUGACUUUUUUAUUUACCCCUCUUAGAAAGGUGAUAUUAAAAAUGUCUUUUUAACAUUCCAAACUUUCAAAUAUACUCCUAUAGUGAACAACCAUUAUCUCUGUAAAAUUUUUUUUUUGUCCUUUCAAGUAUAUCCUUUUAUAGUCGUCAACUUUUCUUAUUUACUCUUAAAGUAAGGGCAAAAAGAAGUAUUUUGACUGACUUCUUUCCUCUCAAUAUACUCUUCUACCGUCAGCAAAUUUUCUUAUUUAUACUUAAGUUAGGGGCAAAAGAGAUAUUUUGAUUUUUUUUUUAAACUCUAAUAGAAUUUUAACCCAGAUUUAACCCACGAUGACUUAAUGGGUACCAACAAUUUGGAUAUUUUUGAAGUACGGAGAAAUAUAAAAAGAGUAUAUUUGAAAUAAAAAAUUAAAAAUAAAUAAGAUAUUUCAGAAAUUGAGGGUUAUACAGCCAAUUAUCCUUUUUAGAUAAUAUCAGGAUUGCACCGGACAUUAAAUUAUCUUCGUUAAUCCUCUCUAAACCUUAUCUUACUAUGAUUCGAUCCACUCAUGCGCAAUCUAAGUUUAAAGGCGUUGCAUACCAAUACAUACAAACUUUUUUUUUCUUUUUUUGAGAGAGAGGUAGCACGCUAUCUACUUCGUUUAUUUCAUUUAGAAAUAAAUUUAGUUGUAAAUGUGAAUCAACAAGGAUUCGAACGUGGGACCUCAGAUACCAACCACCGAGCCCUUUGCUACUUGCUCAAGGGACGGUCGGUACCUCUACAUACAAACUUAGAUCUCAUUUAGGCUGGCAUAUAUGUAGUAUCAAUGUUUUCUUCCUGCCGUAGUCUAAUGUCGUGCUCCUCCUCAUCCUCCAGCAGAGCCGGCUGGCCUUCAGCAUGAUAUGCUGUUUUGCAUCGCCAGCAAGCUGACAACCAUCGACUUCUUGAACUUUCAGAGAGUCAGCCACUCCCAGUUCUCC